Molecule: long non-coding RNA, 1529 nt
Filed under: Citrus x clementina
Lineage: Eukaryota; Viridiplantae; Streptophyta; Magnoliopsida; Sapindales; Rutaceae
Description: Citrus clementina (C. clementina) long non-coding RNA (CCLE_LNC000887)
Source: RNAcentral
AAACCGGUGGCACAGGUUCACCAUUUGCCUUCAAAAUCCUAACUUCUUGUUUCUUUUCUUAUUUUAUGAUUUCGGGUCUCUCUUAUUAUCAUUAGAUCUUGAGUUUUUUUUUUGUUUUAAUUGUUCUUUUAGGUUUAAAUAAGUGAUUUGAAGAAGAGCUUCUAUGUUUCUUUGGCUACUUGGAAGAAACUAAAAGGUAUUAUUUCUUUGGCUACUUGGAAGAAACAAGAAGGUAAAAAUUUAGCUUUUAUUGUGUUUUUUUCUCUGCUACUUUCUUUUCUUUUAUUGGCACCAAAUAGCCUUUAUUAUAUCUACUUUAGAAAAUAUUGUGUUUAGGGUGAUCGUCACUAUAAGGUUAACUUUAUUUCGCUGAUGAACGACAUUAAACAUUUUUUACACUAAAAAUAGAAUUUAGUGAUAUUUAUGGAAUUUCAAACUGCUGUCAUAUAAAAUGUUUGUGCUGUAGGCUAAACAUAAAAUGCUCCACUUAUAAUAUAUAGCUUUCGUAUAAUCUUCAUUUGUCAGAUUUUUCUUUGGAUUUAUGUGCUCGAAUUAUGAUCAAAAUAAUGUGAGAUGUUAUUCUGGCUUGAGUGAUGAUGCAUGCUUGGACUUUACCUGUACUUCUUGGAUUGGCUGCAGUAAUUUUUUAGUACUGGGUUGUAUAAAUUAUACUGUAGCUAGCUUCCAUUGGAUGAGAAACUAAAAUAAUGUACUUGUCAAUUAAAAAUAAAAAAUAAAAAAAAAUUGUCGAAUAAUUACACAGGGAAUGAUGCAGACUUACACAGGUUCUUUUCAAUGUGAAUGGUGCAGACUUACACAGGUUCUCAACAUUGCCAUCAAAACCAUUCAAGAAUAAACAUGGCCAUUAUAUCAAAUUGGUAAGUGUCACUUAUGUGCCCGUCAUUUGGUGGUUUUUCUAAUUUGGAUUCACGUGUUCCUUUUCUAACCAACCGAACAUUGCUUCUGAUGAUUUUUGGUCUUCUUAGUUUUCCACAAAAAUAGAAAACCAAGUUCGGUCUUUCUUUCUUUAUUCGCUUUCCAUCAAGGCAUAAAUCAAAGGAGAGCGCCCAGCUUCACAAAAUGUGCAAAUAUAUAUGUAUAUAUACACGUAGUUCAAGUGAUUCUACUGAGAAAUAGUACCCAAACCCCCCUACUUAUUGAAUUUACCAUAUUCCUACCAAUCUAUACUCUCCUGGCUGUUCCUUGAGAAAUACAGAGAUUUGAGCUUGACAUACUUUUCCAAUAGGAUCCUUAAAUAUAUACAUAUAAUAAUUUAUUACUCCAGUUGUUUAUAUAUGCUAAAAUUAUUCAAACUGCAAAAUUCUAAAUUCCAGUUCCUUGUUGGUCACCCGAAGCUAUAUGCAGAAAUGGCGACUUCAUCUUGGAAAAUUUUAUUUGUAUAAUCUUUAAAAUUAUUAUUAUUAUUAUUUCAAGAACUCUAUAUUUUUACCGCAGGAGUGAUAUGUCAAUUAAGAAAAUGUGAAGGUUACGCACGCUUACACCUUUGUACAGGCUACAGCAAUUCCAAC